This is a long non-coding RNA of Corvus hawaiiensis (hawaiian crow), 236 nucleotides long. RefSeq lists it as uncharacterized. The transcript has 3 exons. The record is from RefSeq and is a predicted model, not a curated record. NCBI's taxonomy places the organism in Eukaryota, Metazoa, Chordata, Aves, Passeriformes, Corvidae.
UCCUGCACGAGCAAUGACUGCUCUCAUGGACAGUGGAGUCCAGAGCCGCCACGUCCAGGUGCGGAAGUGCGCGGCCCAACUCCUCCUGUCCUUGAUGGAGAAAACUGGAGUCACGAAGCUCGCAGGAACGCCCAGGGCUGAGAGGCUGGCGCACGCGGCAGGGACGCUUGCUCAGGACUGUCACGAGGACACAAGGCAUUAUGGACAGGAGAUGGUGAAAAUGAUGCUGAAUCACC